CAGCAGCCGCGGUAAUACGUAGGGGGCAAGCGUUGUCCGGAAUCAUUGGGCGUAAAGAGCGCGUAGGCGGCCCUGUAAGUCCGCUGUGAAAGUCAAGGGCUCAACCCUUGAAUGCCGGUGGAUACUGCAGGGCUAGAGUCCGGAAGAGGCGAGUGGAAUUCCUGGUGUAGCGGUGAAAUGCGCAGAUAUCAGGAGGAACACCGAUGGCGAAGGCAGCUCGCUGGGACGGUACUGACGCUGAGGCGCGAAAGCGUGGGGAGCAAACAGGAUUAGAUACCCUGGUAGUCCACGCCGUAAACGAUGGGCACUAGGUGUGGGAGGUGUCGACUCCUCCCGUGCCGAAGCUAACGCAUUAAGUGCCCCGCCUGGGGAGUACGGCCGCAAGGCUAAAACUCAAAGGAAUUGACGG
Molecule: ribosomal RNA, 409 nt
Filed under: uncultured bacterium
Lineage: Bacteria
Also listed under: 1 other name
Description: bacterial SSU rRNA
Rfam family: Bacterial small subunit ribosomal RNA
Source: RNAcentral